UUGAGCAUCAAACUUUUAAAUUGAAGAGUUUGAUCAUGGCUCAGAUUGAACGCUGGCGGCAGGCCUAACACAUGCAAGUCGAACGGUAACAGGAAACAGCUUGCUGUUUC
This 110-nucleotide ribosomal RNA is filed under the name Escherichia coli. Its description in RNAcentral is "partial 16S ribosomal RNA". The stretch from base 18 to 110 matches the Rfam family "Bacterial small subunit ribosomal RNA", at positions 1 to 89 of the family's 1533-position model. Lineage: Bacteria; Pseudomonadati; Pseudomonadota; Gammaproteobacteria; Enterobacterales; Enterobacteriaceae. The record is from RNAcentral.